UCAGAAUGGAUCCAGAAUGAUCGAGAGAGAGAAAGAGGGAGAGCUGGGAGCUCUCUGACCCGACACCUCAACCCGGUCGGCGCUCCACCGUCAGGCCACCUCCGGCCGGCGCACGGACACCAUCGCCUUCGUCUCAUCGUCGCCGUCACGAUUGUGGUCUUCGAUCGCCCAUGCACCGGACGAGGAGGGAGAAACGACAGUGAGAAGAUCGGACUGCUCCGGCGAAGUUCAGCCAUUUCCGGCCAUUGUUCAGGGCGCAUUCGUUUCUCGGCCUCUCCUCGGCUUAGUUUCGGCUUGGGUGUAUUCAUAGGAGCAAGCUGACAUCAAUUGGAGCAGAAAGCCCGAACUUGCUGGGUUGCAGACGUCGAACUCCAUUACCGGUUGAGCUUCGAAUUAGGUAGGACGGAGUUGAUCGACUCGGCGUCGACUAGGCUAUCUCCGGAAAUUGUGUUCUUCGUCAUCGAGGUUUCAUCUGCAAAUUCUGCCCCAGAAGGACUCCAGUUACCCGAGGAACAGAAGGUUCGCAACUCUCGGAGUACGUGAGAGAACGCAUCGGAAUCCAGUAUGGAUGCAGGUACUGUGCACUGGUGACGGGACAAUGGCGGACGGAGCUGGGUGUGCGGAACAAGUUUGGUAAACCGCCUUCUGGGCUUUAUUCUGCUUUUUAUUUCUCGAACUUUGUGUCCCGGAAUUCUUGGGUCAAACGCGGUUAAAUUCCUAGUCCUUAAAUCUUGUGCCUCCUGAGUGAGCAUUCAUUUCAAGUCUGGACGAACAAAAUGAUUUUUGGGCAACUCAAAGAUUUUCACCUCAAAAA
Rosa rugosa (rugosa rose) is the source of this 814-nucleotide long non-coding RNA. RefSeq lists it as uncharacterized. The transcript is spliced from 4 exons. NCBI's taxonomy places the organism in Eukaryota, Viridiplantae, Streptophyta, Magnoliopsida, Rosales, Rosaceae. The record is from RefSeq and is a predicted model, not a curated record.